CCUCCUUUCUAAGGCAAAACCAAUAAAAUCAAUCAUCUUCAGUUUUGAAAGACUUAGGCAACUAAGUUUUUCUUCGUCUGACUUCACGAAGGGCCUAUAGCUCAGUUGGUUAGAGCGCACGCCUGAUAAGCGUGAGGUAACGGUGGUUCAAGUCCAUUUAGGCCCACCAGAGUUAUAGGUUUCGUAAGAACACAAAUUCUGAUUGAAAAUUAGGUAAAUAAUAGUUAUUUAUCCGGAACAUUAAAGGAA
RNAcentral lists this unclassified non-coding RNA (249 nucleotides) under Yazd(Iran) sunflower phyllody phytoplasma. RNAcentral describes it as "partial 16S-23S ribosomal RNA intergenic spacer". The stretch from base 91 to 166 matches the Rfam family "tRNA". The record is from RNAcentral. Lineage: Bacteria; Bacillati; Mycoplasmatota; Mollicutes; Acholeplasmatales; Acholeplasmataceae.